ACUAAUAAUCUCACGCUUUGAUGUAAUAAUCACCUAGAUAAAGGAAAUGAUGGAAAAUUGCUUAGAUGAUUCAUUUUCAUUGACUGACAAGACAUAGUUAUAAGGGUAAACGACCUGUGUCCCCAUGAAAAGUUUUAUAUACGCUCAUAACUCUACAGAUUUCGGACCUCGUCCCCAGUCCACAUGAAACUAAAGUUAAAAACCACGUUCCCCCUA
Molecule: small RNA, 216 nt
Filed under: Arabidopsis thaliana (thale cress)
Lineage: Eukaryota; Viridiplantae; Streptophyta; Magnoliopsida; Brassicales; Brassicaceae
Description: ATSL249650
Source: RNAcentral